This 152-nucleotide ribosomal RNA is filed under the name uncultured bacterium. RNAcentral's name for it is "partial 16S ribosomal RNA". The record is from RNAcentral.
CACGGAGUUAGCCGAUCCUUAUUCUUACGGUACCGUCAAGCUCCUUCACGAAGGAGUGUUUCUUCCCGUACAAAAGCAGUUUACAAUCCAUAAGACCGUCAUCCUGCACGCGGCAUGGCUGGUUCAGGCUUGCGCCCAUUGACCAAUAUUCC